GGAGAGGUGCCGGAGCGGUUGAACGGGACGGUCUCGAAAACCGUUGAGCCCUCGCGGGUUCCCUGGGUUCGAAUCCCAGCCUCUCCG
RNAcentral lists this transfer RNA (87 nucleotides) under Candidatus Krumholzibacteriia bacterium. Its description in RNAcentral is "tRNA-Ser". It matches the Rfam family "tRNA". Rfam says of the family: Transfer RNA (tRNA) molecules are approximately 80 nucleotides in length. Their secondary structure includes four short double-helical elements and three loops (D, anti-codon, and T loops). Lineage: Bacteria; Candidatus Krumholzibacteriota; Candidatus Krumholzibacteriia. The record is from RNAcentral.